UACAACGCCCAAGCCAUAG
This 19-nucleotide unclassified non-coding RNA is filed under the name Mus musculus (house mouse). RNAcentral's name for it is "oocyte_clustered_small_RNA2169". The record is from RNAcentral. Lineage: Eukaryota; Metazoa; Chordata; Mammalia; Rodentia; Muridae.